AGUUGAUAGCCCUCGGCGUAAAGAGUGGUUAAGAAACAUCCUAAAACUAAAGUUAAACGACUUCAAAGCUGUUAUACGCACAUGAAUAUAUGAAAAUCAACUACGAAAGUGACUUUAAACUCCUGAACCCACGAAAGCUAUGACACAAACUGGGAUUAGAUACCCCACUAUGCCUAGCUGUAAACAUUGAUAUUAACAUACCCAUUUUAUCCGCCUGGGUACUACGAGCACCAGCUUGAAACCCAAAGGACUUGACGGUGCUUUAGAUCCACCUAGAGGAGCCUGUUCUAGAACCGAUAAUCCCCGUUAAACCUCACCUUUCCUUGCCCUGUCAGCCUAUAUACCGCCGUCGUCAGUUUACUCUGUGAAGAAUCUGAAGUAAGCACAAUCGGUACAGCCCAAAACGCCAGGUCGAGGUGUAGCCAAUGGAAAGGGAAGAAAUGGGCUACAUUCAAUAGAAAAUAAUGAAUACGGAUGAUAUUUUGAAAAAGAUGUCUGAAGGAGGAUUUAGCAGUAAGUAGAGAAUAGAGCGCUCUACUGAAAUUGGCCCUGAAGCGCGUACACACCGCCCGUCACUCUCCCCGAGCUAAAAAAAAUACAUUUCUAAUAAGCAAAAUC
This 618-nucleotide ribosomal RNA is filed under the name Halichoeres cosmetus (adorned wrasse). RNAcentral's name for it is "partial small subunit ribosomal RNA". It matches the Rfam family "Bacterial small subunit ribosomal RNA", at positions 543 to 1442 of the family's 1533-position model. Lineage: Eukaryota; Metazoa; Chordata; Actinopteri; Labriformes; Labridae. The record is from RNAcentral.